UCGUACCUUUUGCAUCAUGAUUUAGCCAGCAGCAUCAAGCAAAGAGAACUUUAGUUUGACACCCCGAAACUAGGUGAGCUACUCCAAGACAGCCUAACAAUAGGGCAAACCCGUCUCUGUGGCAAAAGAGUGGGAAGAGCUUCGAGUAGGGGUGACAGACCUAUCGAACCUAGUUAUAGCUGGUUGCCUGGGAACUGGAUAAAAGUUCAGCCUCCCGGCUUCUCUCUUCAUCCUUAUCCUAUUUCCCAAUGAUUCCUAAAGAAACCGCGAGAGUUAGUCAAAGGGGGGACAGCCCCUUUGAACCAAGAUACAACUUUUCCAGGAGGGUAAAGAUCAUAAUUUUCAAGGCAAGAAUGUUUUGGUGGGCCUAAAAGCAGCCAUCCCUACAGAAAGCGUUAAAGCUCAAGCAUACUCCUCGCCGUAUAUCCUGAUAACCCAAUCUUAGCCCCCUAAUCCUACCAGGCCGCCCCAUGCAAGCAUGGGGGCGACCAUGCUAAAAUGAGUAAUAAGAGGGGCCAAAGCCCCUCUCCCCGCACACGUGUACCUCGGAACGGACCCCCCACCGAAAAUUAACGGCCCAAACCAAAGAAGGUAUUGGACAAACGUAAACAUGACCUAGAAAACCGUCCAAAACAUAACCGUUACCCCCACACUGGUGUGCUUAAAGGGAAAGACUAAAAGAAAGAGAAGGAACUCGGCAAACACAUGAAGCCUCGCCUGUUUACCAAAAACAUCGCCUCUUGCAAAACUCAAGAAUAAGAGGUCCCGCCUGCCCAGUGACACUUUAGUUCAACGGCCGCGGUAUUUUGACCGUGCAAAGGUAGCGUAAUCACUUGUCUUUUAAAUGGAGACCUGUAUGAAUGGCACCACGAGGGCUUGACUGUCUCCUCUUUCAGGUCAAUGAAAUUGAUCUCCCCGUGCAGAAGCGGGGAUGAGCCCAUAAGACGAGAAGACCCUAUGGAGCUUUAGACACGAAGGCAGACCAUGUUAAGGACCCUUGAAUAAAAGACUGAACUUAGUGGCCCCCUGUCCUGAUGUCUUCGGUUGGGGCGACCAUGGGGAAACAAACAUCCCCCGUGCGGAAUGGGAGGACCACCCCUUUCUUUCUCUUCCCUCUCCUCCCACAACUAAGAGCUACAGCUCUAACUAGCAGAACUUCUGACCAUAAGUGAUCCGGCAAUGCCGAUCAGCGGACCAAGUUACCCUAGGGAUAACAGCGCAAUCCCCUUUUAGAGCCCAUAUCGACAAGGGGGUUUACGACCUCGAUGUUGGAUCAGGACAUCCUA
This 1286-nucleotide ribosomal RNA is filed under the name Seriola lalandi (yellowtail amberjack). RNAcentral's name for it is "partial 16S ribosomal RNA". It matches the Rfam family "Bacterial large subunit ribosomal RNA", at positions 599 to 2549 of the family's 2925-position model. The record is from RNAcentral. Lineage: Eukaryota; Metazoa; Chordata; Actinopteri; Carangiformes; Carangidae.